Molecule: ribosomal RNA, 264 nt
Filed under: uncultured bacterium
Lineage: Bacteria
Description: partial 16S ribosomal RNA
Rfam family: Bacterial small subunit ribosomal RNA
Source: RNAcentral
GAUCAUGGCUCAGGAUGAACGCUAGCUACAGGCUUAACACAUGCAAGUCGAGGGGCAGCAUGACCUAGCAAUAGGUUGGUGGCGACCGGCGCACGGGUGAGUAACACGUAUCCAACCUACCGGUUAUUCCGGGAUAGCCUUUCGAAAGAAAGAUUAAUACCGGAUAGUAUAACGAGAAGGCAUCUUUUUGUUAUUAAAGAAUUUCGAUAACCGAUGGGGAUGCGUUCCAUUAGUUUGUUGGCGGGGUAACGGCCCACCAAGACA